RNAcentral lists this ribosomal RNA (424 nucleotides) under uncultured bacterium. RNAcentral describes it as "bacterial SSU rRNA". It matches the Rfam family "Bacterial small subunit ribosomal RNA", at positions 9 to 414 of the family's 1533-position model. The record is from RNAcentral.
GAGUUUGAUCCUGGCUCAGGAUGAACGCUGGCGGCGUGCUUAACACAUGCAAGUCGAACGAAGCACCUGAGAAUGAUUCUUCGGAUGAAGUCUCUUGUGACUGAGUGGCGGACGGGUGAGUAACGCGUGGGUAACCUGCCUCACACAGGGGGAUAACAGUUGGAAACGACCGCUAAUACCGCAUAACCCGCUGGUGCCGCAUGGCACUGACGGAAAAGAUUUUAUCGGUGUGAGAUGGACCCGCGUCUGAUUAGCCAGUUGGCAGGGUAACGGCCUACCAAAGCGACGAUCAGUAGCCGGCCUGAGAGGGUGAACGGCCACAUUGGGACUGAGACACGGCCCAGACUCCUGCGGGAGGCAGCAGUGGGGAAUAUUGCACAAUGGGGGAAACCCUGAUGCAGCGACGCCGCGUGAGUGAAGAAGU